GAAAACUUUUGACAAAACACGGCACGCGUCGCUCCGCCUUUCUCUUUUUUUUUUAAUACAAACUUCGAGCGGACUUUUACACGGCGCGCGUGAUCUAAACGAAUAUAAAUAAAGUGCGCGGCGUUUGAAGGACACAAACAGAAACCAAAUCAAGGAUAUUCCAGCAAAAAGGAAAAGAAGCGAGACCGCAGAAGCGAAGCCAGGAAACGAGGACCUUCGACGGAGAGCAAGAAAACGAUCCGAGGGAUACAGGGUGACAUGUGGAGUCCAACGCACUGCAGUGUAACGGUGCAAAGGGCGCGGGGUCUGCUCACCAAAGGCAAGAAUGGCACCAACAAUUGCUUCGUCACCAUUGCCCUGGGCAAGGAGAAGUACCAGACGUCCGUCAAGGACAAGGCUGAGACGAGCGUCAACUGGAACGAGGAGUGUGAACUCAAAAUCCCCGAUCAGGGCAAUCGCGCCGAGCUGACGCUGACCUGCCUGCACAGAAACAACCUGGGCAUCGAUGAAUUCCUCGGCCAGGCCUCGCUGCCCCUCAACGAAAUGGAUGUGUACGACAGGCCGCGUGCCAAGUGGUUCAAGCUGGAGAGCAAGCCCGGCAAGGAGAAGAAGAAUAAGGAGCGUGGCGAGCUGGAGGUCCGCAUUGCCUUCGUGGUCAAAUCCGGCUCGCUGACCGACCUUAGUAAGAAGGACAAGCACAAGUCUUCCAUUGGCCAGCUGGCCAGUUCCGUGGGCGGCAGCCUGCUGUCCAUUGGCAAUGGCGAGAAGCGGCGUAGCAUCAAGAAGCUGGCCGGUUCGCUUAGCUCCAAAUUGCACAUUCGCAGCAAGAAGAAGCAGGAGGCUGGCGGCGACGAUAGCAGCUCCUUUGGCGGCUCCUUUGCCAGCCUGGGCACUCCCAAUAGCUCAGCGGGCAGGGGCCAAAACGGAGGCAGUGGCCGGCGACGAGGUGGCCAGCGGGCAGGCGAGGCCGAUCCCGGUGUGAUUAGCGAGGACGAGGAUGAGUUUGUCUUCGAUAACCUGUCGCACAAGAGCUCCGGCAGCUCGCUCAACAUUCAGCGGACCGGUUUGCAGCCACCGCCAGCAGCUGGGACGCCCAAUUUUGCGCCGCGCCAUCCAUCGCCCUUGCUGAGCAACGGCGUCGUCGGCGGCAUCAACAAUGGCAGCGGGAAAGGUAAGCCAUCGGUUUUGCCAGCUACCCUCGAUGAGGACGCACCCAUCGACGCGGAGAUGGAACAGCUUGAGCUCGAUUUCAGUGUCCGUGCCCAUGCCCGCGCCAAUGCCAAUGUGAAUGGUAGCGGUGCCAGCAGCAACCUGCCGCCUCCCUCGAAGCCGCCACGCAUUCCCUCCUCAUCGUCGUCGUCGCAGGCGGAGCAGGAGCAGGAGGAGGAGCAGCAGCAGCCCGUAAUUAGGGCCCUGGAACGAGAAAAGCCAAAGGAGAAGCAAGUGGAACCGGAUACAAGCAAGGACGAGUGGGCUUCAAAAUUAUAUGGCAGCGGCAAGUACCUGGAUAUUGGAAGCAGUGAUUCCCUGAAGCGUCGCAGCUGGGAGGCACGCGUACCACUGCCCGCCAGUGUCGAGGAGCCACCGCCAAUCCCCACAUCCAGCUCUUCGUCCAGUUCCAGCUCGGACAGUGAUGAGGAUGACGAGGAGCAGCCACCGCGGGCAGCUCCUCCACCAGUACCCGUUGCAGCUUCCAUUACCGCUACUGUUUCUGGUAAAGCUCCUAUUGCUCCUGCUCCAGCUCCUGCUCCACCUGCUGCCGCUGUAGCCACUACCACCACCUCAUCCUCACUCUUCUCACCCGACGUGGAGCAUCGCAAUUUCGAUACCUUCAAUGCUAGCUUCGCCAAGUACGAGCAGCGCAAUAGCACAGCCAUCUUUGCAGAUGAACCUGAGCUGGAUGAGCUGGAUGUUGAGCCAGAGAAGCUGCCGGUGCCUACACCCACAGCACGUCCCAAGCCGCAGCCGCGGGUAAUGCCCGAUCUGAGGGCUGAGGAGGAGAAGGCCAGGGAAGAGGCUGCCCGGCAACUGCGUGCCGAGGAGGAUGCUCGCUUGGAGGAGGAGCUGCGUUUAAAUGAGCAGCGACUGCAUGAGGAGGAAGCGGCCCUGCAGCGAGAGCUAGAGGAGGAGGCCAAGGAGCGGCAACAGCUAGAGGAGCAGCGGCGGCGUGAAACCAAGCGCUGGGAGGAGGACCAGAGGCUGCUCAGCUUCGCCACGCGCUCAACGUCCCUAGAGGAGCCAGCAGUAGCUGUGGCUGUGGCCACUGAGAAGCGUGAACGGGAAUUGGAACAGGAGCCGGAGGGUGAACUGGCUGAGCCAGAGCACAAUUUCCUCACGCCCGAGCAAUCGCCCAAGGAGUUCCAGACGAAUGGCGGUGGCAGCGGCACUGGCGAACGCUGGGAGAAGCGGCUGGGCAAGUUCAAAUACGGCAACAAGCGAGAUAAAUACAACAAUGACAACGAGAGCAACUCGCCCAGUCCCAAGUCCACAGAGCGCAUCAUCAUUGGCCACGAAAAGUCUGGAUCGCAUGCAGAGCGCCGCUCGGAAAUAUCCGCCCAGCUGGCCAAGAAAUACGAGGGAAAGUCCCGGGAGGAACUAAUGCUAAUUGCCAAUGGAAUGGAGAACGAAGCUCUGCUGCAGCGGCAGCGGGUUAAGGAACUAGAGGACUAUCUGGACAACCUGCUACUGCGUGUAAUGGAAACGCAUCCGAAGAUCCUGCAGAAUCCCUAUUCGCGCACCACAUCCGCCAAGAGGUACGGCCCCAAAUCGUUCUGGUCGCUACCAAGGACCACGCUCACCCACUAACCAAGCAACCAACCAACUGCAUGCAUGACCCUGACCGCCGUUAUAAAAAUUACAUCAAUAUGAAUGACUUUCUAAAGUAAGUGCUGUGCAUGGCUGCUGCUAUUUGCAUUUAAGUAGAAAAUGAUUUAAAUGAAAGAUAAGAAAACACUCGAUUCACCAACAACUACAACUACAACAUCACCAACAACUACACCACAACAACAACAACAACCACAGCUAAUGUGAUGACAAGAUGAUGAAGAAGAAGAAGGAAGAAGCUACUAAAUACUGAAGCGGCAACGAACGGUUAAGAAAAAAGAACAGCCAAACUUGUCAGCGUCACCAACUUGAUAUACACUUGUCACACACACACAGCCUCGCCAGAGGAGGAGGCAGAGAAGUAGAAGGAGAAGGAGGAGCUAAAGACGCUGCUGGAGGAGAUCAAACACCAUGUUGCCUUUGUCGUGAACAGCGAAAUUCAAGUGCUUUCUAAAUCGUAAUACUAAGAAGAAUGGGGAGGUGGGGAUAACCACUACGAUCGUACACUUAAGGGGUGCGAAAUUGAAUGGUAUGUUCACCCAACCCCCUCCCAGAUUAUUCCCCGUACUAAACUGAACUACAUUAAUUAUACUAUACUAUAUAUAUAUAUAAAUACGAUAUGUAUGUGUAUCGCCAGGCAUGCGAGUUGCAUUAUCGAUUGGUUCUCGAGUCCUUUUUAUCAAUUGAUUGAAAUUAUCCAAAAGUAUUUUGUUUUUUUUAAUGUCCCAUUUUUUAUGUAAUAUUUGUUGUGCAAAAAAAAAAAAGUAUAAGAUGAGUUUUGAGGAGAAGUUUUUGUAAAUCGCCAGAGCGGCCUUUAGUGAAUUAAGUCUUAAAUUAUUUAUGUUUUAGCUGUUAAGCAAAAAAGGGGGGACACACACGCAUACACACAGUUGAGAAAUAUGUUGAUAUCCUACAAUGAUUUUACUUAUUGAUAUACACCCAACCCAAAACCGGAAUAAAAACAUUUUUAACAUUAAUAAAA
This is an unclassified non-coding RNA of Drosophila serrata, 3805 nucleotides long. The record is from RefSeq and is a predicted model, not a curated record. Lineage: Eukaryota; Metazoa; Arthropoda; Insecta; Diptera; Drosophilidae.